Molecule: ribosomal RNA, 253 nt
Filed under: uncultured bacterium
Lineage: Bacteria
Description: partial 16S ribosomal RNA
Rfam family: Bacterial small subunit ribosomal RNA
Source: RNAcentral
UACGUAGGGUGCGAGCGUUAAUCGGAAUUACUGGGCGUAAAGCGUGCGCAGGCGGUUUUGUAAGCCAGAUGUGAAAUCCCCGGGCUUAACCUGGGAAUGGCAUUUGGGACUGCAAAGCUUGAGUGCGGCAGAGGGGACUGGAAUUCCUGGUGUAGCAGUGAAAUGCGUAGAGAUCAGGAGGAAUACCGAUGGCGAGGGCAGGUCCCUGGGCUGACACUGACGCUCAUGCACGAAAGCGUGGGGAGCAAACAGG